RNAcentral lists this ribosomal RNA (492 nucleotides) under uncultured bacterium. RNAcentral describes it as "partial 16S ribosomal RNA". It matches the Rfam family "Bacterial small subunit ribosomal RNA", at positions 29 to 507 of the family's 1533-position model. The record is from RNAcentral.
AGUGAACGCUGGCGGUAGGCCUAACACAUGCAAGUCGAACGGCAGCACAGUAAGAGCUUGCUCUUACGGGUGGCGAGUGGCGGACGGGUGAGGAAUACAUCGGAAUCUACUUUUUCGUGGGGGAUAACGUAGGGAAACUUACGCUAAUACCGCAUACGACCUACGGGUGAAAGCAGGGGAUCUUCGGACCUUGCGCGAUUGAAUGAGCCGAUGUCGGAUUAGCUAGUUGGCGGGGUAAAGGCCCACCAAGGCGACGAUCCGUAGCUGGUCUGAGAGGAUGAUCAGCCACACUGGAACUGAGACACGGUCCAGACUCCUACGGGAGGCAGCAGUGGGGAAUCUUGGACAAUGGGCGAAAGCCUGAUCCAGCCAUACCGCGUGGGUGAAGAAGGCCUUCGGGUUGUAAAGCCCUUUUGUUGGGAAAGAAAAGCAGCAGGUUAAUACCCCGCUGUUCUGACGGUACCCAAAGAAUAAGCACCGGCUAACUUCGUG